RNAcentral lists this ribosomal RNA (253 nucleotides) under uncultured bacterium. RNAcentral's name for it is "partial 16S ribosomal RNA". It matches the Rfam family "Bacterial small subunit ribosomal RNA", at positions 524 to 776 of the family's 1533-position model. The record is from RNAcentral.
UACAGAGGUCUCAAGCGUUGUUCGGAUUCAUUGGGCGUAAAGGGUGUGUAGGCUGCCCUGCAAGUCGGAUGUGAAAGCCCUGGGCUCAACCUGGGAAGUGCAUUCGAAACUGCGGGGCUGGAGUCCUGGAGAGGAAGGCGGAAUUCUCGGUGUAGAGGUGAAAUUCGUAGAUAUCGAGAGGAACACCGGUGGCGAAGGCGGCCUUCUGGACAGUGACUGACGCUGAGACACGAAAGCGUGGGGAGCAAACAGG